This 120-nucleotide small nuclear RNA is filed under the name Angiostrongylus costaricensis. RNAcentral describes it as "U5 spliceosomal RNA". It matches the Rfam family "U5 spliceosomal RNA". From Rfam's summary of the family: U5 RNA is a component of both types of known spliceosome. The precise function of this molecule is unknown, though it is known that the 5' loop is required for splice site selection and p220 binding, and that both the 3' stem-loop and the Sm site are important for Sm protein binding and cap methylation. The record is from Rfam by way of RNAcentral. Lineage: Eukaryota; Metazoa; Nematoda; Chromadorea; Rhabditida; Metastrongylidae.
AAUCUUUGGAUCCAGUGCAUUUAACCGACAAAGUCUUUCAUCUUUUGCUAAAGAAAUCCGUGCGCUGGAGCAAUUAUAAGUGUUUUUGCCAAUUUUUGGAAUGCCAUCGAAGAGUGAAUU